RNAcentral lists this long non-coding RNA (799 nucleotides) under Volvox carteri. RNAcentral describes it as "long non-coding RNA (VCAR_LNC004340)". Lineage: Eukaryota; Viridiplantae; Chlorophyta; Chlorophyceae; Chlamydomonadales; Volvocaceae. The record is from RNAcentral.
UCUGCAAAUAUCCAACUCUGCCAUUCGCACCAAAACUCUGGAAAGGCCCCGUUUUUUCGUCCAUUGGCUGCCAACUAACCGACAAUGACCAACCGACUGUAACCACAGGUAGGGCGUUUGUUUGCAACUCUGGAUUCAUCAGGUAUGUCUCAGCCAGCAGCAAUUCAAGUCAGCAUACACACGAAAGCCGCCAAGCAUCAACCCUUAAACCCAGGAUAAGUCCUAGAUCCCUAAAACCUUACAGUUUUGGCCUUCACUUGCUACAGUACCGUACUUAAUGCUGCAGUAGAAAGGGUGGUGCGGGUAUAGAUGGCUUGUAUAAUGUAGUAUUUGGGACAUAUCAGGGGAUCUGCAUCCACCGAUUGGUGCUUUCCUGAAGUCGUGGUAUAAUGCAUCUGCAGGACGCCCCUGCAUGUCGACAUGCCCAAACAUUGCGUGUAGCUCUCCUAGCUAGAUUGAUGCUCAGUACUAGUAUUUUCUCUAGCCAGAUGCAUGGCGGCAGGGUUACCUGCAUGCAUGUGUAUGUACCUAGACAGCAAUCUGUACUAUUAUGGUGGAAGGGCCCCCUAUAGCUGUGGCUAGUUUUCUCACGUAGCUAUAGGUCUGGGAGGCCAGGCACAUCAUGCUCAGGCGUACCAAGCCCAGGCAAGCGGGAGAGGAUGUUAAUAAACUGCCUCACUCGCGACCGGCACCACCAUAAUGGCCAUUGAUGUCCACUCCCAUGAGGCCCCCGGCUUUUACAGACGGCCCCACACUUGCGUGGAGCUUGUAGAAUGUAACCUGGUGAUCUCAACAUCGG